Ruditapes philippinarum (Manila clam) is the source of this 787-nucleotide long non-coding RNA. RefSeq lists it as uncharacterized. Lineage: Eukaryota; Metazoa; Mollusca; Bivalvia; Venerida; Veneridae. The record is from RefSeq and is a predicted model, not a curated record. The transcript has 4 exons.
UGUACAAAACUAAGUAGAUGUAAUUAAACUUUAGCAUAUUUAUGGCAACAGAUUAUACCCAUGUAACUAGUACUAACCAAGAUCAGCCGGCACUUUUGUGCUCUCUUAUCAUGGUCUGCACUGUUCGCAAUUCAGUCAAUACAUAUUUUGAAAUCUUCUUUAAAAUGAAAAUGGUUUUGUCCAGAUUGAUAGAUGGGCAAGUCCAUUUAAGAUAUUUAGCAUGAUAAAGGGUUAAUAAGUUGUCACAUUCCUUUUAUUUCUCUAACAGUCUCUUUAUUAGUACAAUAUAUACAUAUAUUUUCCUGCAUGCUUAUUUUGUUUUAUAUAGUACACUAUCUGAUGAGAAUGGUAAAUGCUCCAUACAAGAUAUCAUCAGCUGUAUUCAGAACGGUUGUAGUGAUGCUGAGAGGAAUGAACAGAUUCUGAUUGUACAACAUGAACUAACAGCUGGAGUUGGCUAUGACAAUCUAAGAAAGGUGCUUGAUAUAAUUAGUAUGAUAAGUGAUGAACAAGAAAUGCAGAUGCACAUUACCCAUAUUUUAGGUCCAAAGCUGUUUGAAGAAUAUAAAGAACAUUUAACAGUACUACGCUUAUUAGAAGGGAAAAGUUAAUAAUUCCAUAAAUGAAUAGUAAUGUUUAAAGUUGCAUGCCUCCAGAUAAGCCAAAAUAUUUCAAGAAAAUAAACCAAAAUUGAAAAAAGUUUUCUAAGAUAGUUAAAAAAAGUAAAAAAGUCAAGAUUCAAGAAAUGGUAAACAUGUUACAGUGUGUUUGGUAGAUUCUAAAACUC